RNAcentral lists this transfer RNA (90 nucleotides) under Kluyvera intermedia. RNAcentral's name for it is "tRNA-OTHER". The record is from RNAcentral. Lineage: Bacteria; Pseudomonadati; Pseudomonadota; Gammaproteobacteria; Enterobacterales; Enterobacteriaceae.
GGAAGAUCGUCGUCUCCGGUGAGACGAUUGGCUUUUGCAGUGGUAGCCGUUCACGGCUCCCGGCAGGUUCGACUCCUGCGGUCUCCGCCA